This 253-nucleotide ribosomal RNA is filed under the name uncultured prokaryote. RNAcentral's name for it is "partial 16S ribosomal RNA". It matches the Rfam family "Bacterial small subunit ribosomal RNA", at positions 524 to 776 of the family's 1533-position model. The record is from RNAcentral.
UACGGAGGGUGCAAGCAUUGAUCGGAAUUACUGGGCGUAAAGGGCGCGCAGGCGGUGGGGAAAGUCAGAUGUGAAAUUCCGGAGCUCAACUCCGGAGCUGCAUUUGAAACUUCCCUGCUAGAGUGCAGUUAGGGAAAACGGAAUUCCACGUGUAGCGGUGAAAUGCGUAGAUAUGUGGAAGAACACCGGUGGCGAAGGCAGCCCCCUGGGUUAGCACUGACGCUCAUACACGAAAGCGUGGGGAGCAAACAGG